GGGGCUAUAGCUCAGAUGGUUAGAGCGCAUCCCUGAUAAGGAUGAGGCCACAGGUUCAAGUCCUGUUAGCCCCACCG
RNAcentral lists this transfer RNA (77 nucleotides) under Streptomyces sedi. RNAcentral's name for it is "tRNA-Ile". It matches the Rfam family "tRNA". From Rfam's summary of the family: Transfer RNA (tRNA) molecules are approximately 80 nucleotides in length. Their secondary structure includes four short double-helical elements and three loops (D, anti-codon, and T loops). Lineage: Bacteria; Bacillati; Actinomycetota; Actinomycetes; Kitasatosporales; Streptomycetaceae. RNAcentral also lists the same sequence under 5 other names. The record is from RNAcentral.